Molecule: ribosomal RNA, 537 nt
Filed under: uncultured Acidobacteriota bacterium
Lineage: Bacteria; Pseudomonadati; Acidobacteriota
Description: bacterial SSU rRNA
Rfam family: Bacterial small subunit ribosomal RNA
Source: RNAcentral
UUGAUCCUGGCUCAGAAUCAACGCUGGCGGCGUGCCUAACACAUGCAAGUCGAACGCGAAAGGGGCGCAAGCCCUGAGUAGAGUGGCAAACGGGUGAGUUACACGCGGGUGACCUGCCUUCGAGUGGGGGAUAACGUUCCGAAAGGAACUCUAAUACCGCAUGACAUCCUGCGUUUGGAGACGCGGACAUCAAAGCUGGUGAUCGCAAGACCUAGCGCUCGGAGAGGGGCCCGCGGCUGAUUAGCUAGUUGGUGGGGUAAUGGCUCACCAAGGCAACGAUCAGUAUCCGGCCUGAGAGGUCGGACGGACACACUGGGACUGAGACACGGCCCAGACUCCUACGGGAGGCUGCAGUGGGGAAUUGUUCGCAAUGGGCGCAAGCCUGACGACGCAACGCCGUGUGGAGGACGAAGAUCUUCGGGUCGUAAACUCCUGUCGAGCGGGAAGAAUGGGUGCGGGGUGAAUACCCUCGCACCGUGACGGUACCGCUAAAGGAAGCUCCGGCUAACUCCGUGCCAGCAGCCGCGGUAAUAAGGU